CCCUUAGAUGUUCUGGGCCGCACGCGCGCUACACUGACGAUGGCAACGAGUUUUUCCUUCGCCGAAAGGCGUGGGUAAUCUUUUGAAACAUCGUCGUGCUGGGGAUAGAUCAUUGCAAUUUUUGAUCUUGAACGAGGAAUUCCUAGUAAGCGCGAGUCAUCAGCUCGCGUUGAUUACGUCCCUGCCCUUUGUACACACCGCCCGUCGCUACUACCGAUUGAAUGGUUUAGUGAGGACUCCUGAUUGGCGCCGCCGCCCCGGCAACGGAGCAGCGGACUGCCGAAAAGUUGUUCAAACUUGAUCAUUUAGAGGAAGUAAAAGUCGUAACA
This 329-nucleotide ribosomal RNA is filed under the name uncultured eukaryote. RNAcentral describes it as "partial 18S ribosomal RNA". It matches the Rfam family "Eukaryotic small subunit ribosomal RNA", at positions 1470 to 1796 of the family's 1831-position model. The record is from RNAcentral.